GAUGAACGCUGGCGGCGUGCCUAAUACAUGCAAGUCGAGCGAACGGACGAGAAGCUUGCUUCUCUGAUGUUAGCGGCGGACGGGUGAGUAACACGUGGAUAACCUACCUAUAAGACUGGGAUAACUUCGGGAAACCGGAGCUAAUACCGGAUAAUAUUUUGAACCGCAUGGUUCAAAAGUGAAAGACGGUCUUGCUGUCACUUAUAGAUGGAUCCGCGCUGCAUUAGCUAGUUGGUAAGGUAACGGCUUACCAAGGCAACGAUGCAUAGCCGACCUGAGAGGGUGAUCGGCCACACUGGAACUGAGACACGGUCCAGACUCCUACGGGAGGCAGCAGUAGGGAAUCUUCCGCAAUGGGCGAAAGCCUGACGGAGCAACGCCGCGUGAGUGAUGAAGGUCUUCGGAUCGUAAAACUCUGUUAUUAGGGAAGAACAUAUGUGUAAGUAACUGUGCACAUCUUGACGGUACCUAAUCAGAAAGCCACGGCUAACUACGUGCCAGCAGCCGCGGUAAUACGUAGGUGGCAAGCGUUAUCCGGAAUUAUUGGGCGUAAAGCGCGCGUAGGCGGUUUUUUAAGUCUGAUGUGAAAGCCCACGGCUCAACCGUGGAGGGUCAUUGGAAACUGGAAAACUUGAGUGCAGAAGAGGAAAGUGGAAUUCCAUGUGUAGCGGUGAAAUGCGCAGAGAUAUGGAGGAACACCAGUGGCGAAGGCGACUUUCUGGUCUGUAACUGACGCUGAUGUGCGAAAGCGUGGGGAUCAAACAGGACUAGAUACCCUGGUAGUCCACGCCGUAAACGAUGAGUGCUAAGUGUUAGGGGGUUUCCGCCCCUUAGUGCUGCAGCUAACGCAUUAAGCACUCCGCCUGGGGAGUACGACCGCAAGGUUGAAACUCAAAGGAAUUGACGGGGACCCGCACAAGCGGUGGAGCAUGUGGUUUAAUUCGAAGCAACGCGAAGAACCUUACCAAAUCUUGACAUCCUUUGACAACUCUAGAGAUAGAGCCUUCCCCUUCGGGGGACAAAGUGACAGGUGGUGCAUGGUUGUCGUCAGCUCGUGUCGUGAGAUGUUGGGUUAAGUCCCGCAACGAGCGCAACCCUUAAGCUUAGUUGCCAUCAUUAAGUAGGGCACUCUAAGUUGACUGCCGGUGACAAACCGGAGGAAGGUGGGGAUGACGUCAAAUCAUCAUGCCCCUUAUGAUUUGGGCUACACACGUGCUACAAUGGACAAUACAAAGGGCAGCGAAACCGCGAGGUCAAGCAAAUCCCAUAAAGUUGUUCUCAGUUCGGAUUGUAGUCUGCAACUCGACUACAUGAAGCUGGAAUCGCUAGUAAUCGUAGAUCAGCAUGCUACGGUGAAUACGUUCCCGGGUCU
Molecule: ribosomal RNA, 1372 nt
Filed under: uncultured bacterium
Lineage: Bacteria
Description: bacterial SSU rRNA
Rfam family: Bacterial small subunit ribosomal RNA
Source: RNAcentral